RNAcentral lists this transfer RNA (76 nucleotides) under Gammaproteobacteria bacterium. RNAcentral's name for it is "tRNA-Thr". It matches the Rfam family "tRNA". Rfam says of the family: Transfer RNA (tRNA) molecules are approximately 80 nucleotides in length. Their secondary structure includes four short double-helical elements and three loops (D, anti-codon, and T loops). Further hydrogen bonds mediate the characteristic L-shaped molecular structure. tRNAs have two regions of fundamental functional importance: the anti-codon, which is responsible for specific mRNA codon recognition, and the 3' end, to which the tRNAs corresponding amino acid is attached (by aminoacyl-tRNA synthetases). tRNAs cope with the degeneracy of the genetic code in two manners: having more than one tRNA (with a specific anti-codon) for a particular amino acid; and 'wobble' base-pairing, i.e. permitting non-standard base-pairing at the 3rd anti-codon position. RNAcentral also lists the same sequence under 6 other names. Lineage: Bacteria; Pseudomonadati; Pseudomonadota; Gammaproteobacteria. The record is from RNAcentral.
GCCCAUAUAGCUCAGUCGGUAGAGCACUUCCUUGGUAAGGAAGAGGUCACCGGUUCAAAUCCGGUUGUGGGCUCCA